Molecule: ribosomal RNA, 763 nt
Filed under: Escherichia coli
Lineage: Bacteria; Pseudomonadati; Pseudomonadota; Gammaproteobacteria; Enterobacterales; Enterobacteriaceae
Description: partial 23S ribosomal RNA
Rfam family: Bacterial large subunit ribosomal RNA
Source: RNAcentral
CAGUGUGAUUCGUCACACUAUCAUUAACUGAAUCCAUAGGUUAAUGAGGCGAACCGGGGGAACUGAAACAUCUAAGUACCCCGAGGAAAAGAAAUCAACCGAGAUUCCCCCAGUAGCGGCGAGCGAACGGGGAGCAGCCCAGAGCCUGAAUCAGUGUGUGUGUUAGUGGAAGCGUCUGGAAAGGCGCGCGAUACAGGGUGACAGCCCCGUACACAAAAAUGCACAUGCUGUGAGCUCGAUGAGUAGGGCGGGACACGUGGUAUCCUGUCUGAAUAUGGGGGGACCAUCCUCCAAGGCUAAAUACUCCUGACUGACCGAUAGUGAACCAGUACCGUGAGGGAAAGGCGAAAAGAACCCCGGCGAGGGGAGUGAAAAAGAACCUGAAACCGUGUACGUACAAGCAGUGGGAGCACGCUUAGGCGUGUGACUGCGUACCUUUUGUAUAAUGGGUCAGCGACUUAUAUUCUGUAGCAAGGUUAACCGAAUAGGGGAGCCGAAGGGAAACCGAGUCUUAACUGGGCGUUAAGUUGCAGGGUAUAGACCCGAAACCCGGUGAUCUAGCCAUGGGCAGGUUGAAGGUUGGGUAACACUAACUGGAGGACCGAACCGACUAAUGUUGAAAAAUUAGCGGAUGACUUGUGGCUGGGGGUGAAAGGCCAAUCAAACCGGGAGAUAGCUGGUUCUCCCCGAAAGCUAUUUAGGUAGCGCCUCGUGAAUUCAUCUCCGGGGGUAGAGCACUGUUUCGGCAAGGGGGUCAUCCCGA